Long non-coding RNA from Lycium ferocissimum, 664 nucleotides. RefSeq lists it as uncharacterized. NCBI's taxonomy places the organism in Eukaryota, Viridiplantae, Streptophyta, Magnoliopsida, Solanales, Solanaceae. The transcript is spliced from 3 exons. The record is from RefSeq and is a predicted model, not a curated record.
UUUCCUUCCAUUUUUUGGCUCGCUUUGUAUUCCCUCCAGACAAUUAGGUACUCUUUCAGCCAAAAAAUAGUUUGCCCUAGAAAACUAAUUAACCUUUCAACCAAAGUCCGAUGAACAACCUAGACUUUUUCUGCGACAAGCUCUUCGCUCACUGUCCCUUUCCAACGACUGCAGGAUAUGAGAUUUGUAAUGUUAGAAUCAUAAAGAAGUUGGAGGGGCACUUGCGAAAGACGAGCUAGACAUGAACGUUCAUCAUCAAUGUUGAUAAAACCCAUGUUAAUAGUAGAGGGGUUGGUCCAUUAUCCAUCGAGCUUUUUUUAACAAGUUGAUUACUGAAAACUCUUAUAGUGAUUAGGGGAAAAUUGCACCAGCUGGUGAAUCGAAGGCAUCGAUAUUUGUUCUCCAUGACACUUGAAGGACUUCAUUUUGAUCAGAAGUUGAGGAAAAUGUUUGUGGACUAUCUACGGUGUUGAAUUAAGACAAUUUGAUGACAUUAGUUAUUUGAUUAAAAUUGUUUACUUUUUUUGUAAUGUUGGAAUUAUGAAAUAAUGGAUUAGUGGUUGUUUUGUUUAUUGUAUAUUGUAUAUAUUACUUUUUAGAAUAAACAAUGUCUUUGACAUUUGUAUUUCAUAAUUUAAUUUUAUUACAAGUGAAUGUUGUUGUA